Molecule: long non-coding RNA, 264 nt
Organism: Calypte anna (Anna's hummingbird)
Lineage: Eukaryota; Metazoa; Chordata; Aves; Apodiformes; Trochilidae
Exons: 4
Source: RefSeq, a predicted model, not a curated record
GCAAGCAGUUCUGGUGGCCCAGUAGCAAGCAGGAAAACUCCGAGCCAUGAGAGAGAGAUCUACAAGCAAUCUGCAAGAUGAAAAUCCUUUCUGCAAAGGGUGAGAAAGGCAAUCUUCAUUUUGACAGCGUGGUUUUUACUCCUGAUGCUAUUCACAUGGUGAAUGAAUUCACUGCCCAAUCAUAGAUUUUCACAACUACGAAGGCUGCAUUUUCACUAUGGAUUAUUGUUCCCAGUGUUCAAAAAAUAUUAAUGGAGAAUACAG